AGAAUCAACGCUGGCGGCGUGCCUAACACAUGCAAGUCGAACGAGAAAGUGGGAGCAAUCCCACGAGUAAAGUGGCGCACGGGUGAGUAACACGUGACUAACCUACCCUUGAGUGGGGGAUAACCUAGGGAAACCUGGGCUAAUACCGCAUAAUACCUACGGGUCAAAGGAGCAAUUCGCUUAAGGAGGGGGUCGCGGCAGAUUAGUUAGUUGGCGGGGUAAUGGCCCACCAAGACAGUGAUCUGUAUCCGGCCUGAGAGGGCGCACGGACACACUGGAACUGAAACACGGUCCAGACUCCUACGGGAGGCAGCAGUGGGGAAUUUUGCGCAAUGGGGGAAACCCUGACGCAGCAACGCCGCGUGGAGGAUGAAGCCCCUUGGGGCGUAAACUCCUUUCGAUCGGGAAGAUAAUGACGGUACCGGAAGAGAAGCCCCGGCUAACUUCGCGCCAGCAGCCGC
RNAcentral lists this ribosomal RNA (461 nucleotides) under uncultured bacterium. RNAcentral's name for it is "SSU rRNA". It matches the Rfam family "Bacterial small subunit ribosomal RNA", at positions 26 to 518 of the family's 1533-position model. The record is from RNAcentral.